UUUCGAUUGUCUCUUCAUAUGAUGAUGAUAUGUGAAUAUUUUUAUUGUGAAUGUUUUUAUUGCUCUCUUGUACCUUUGAUUUUUCCUUUGGAUAAUGGGAUGUCAUUUUUUUCCUUAUCAUUAUCCUUAUCUCCAAACUUCACUUCUUCAUGUAUUUUACAUUUUUAUUUUAUAUCCCCUUCAUCAUUUGAGUUAAGAAAGCAUUUAUUUUUUGAAAUUUUUUGAACUUUGUCGGUUGCAGUGACUUACAUUCCUAGUUAUCCUCAUAUUCUAGUCUUAGUUUUUUUGUAGGAUUGUCAACAACAUAAAUUUGUUCUUCAUGUCCAACAACAUGCAGUGUUUCAAUGAUGUCUGUAAUUCAAAAAUAGUUACUACCAAAUGAUGUUUCUUUGAUAGUUUAGAAGUUGAAUUUUUUAUUGAAAUAAUUAUUACUGUUAGAUUUACUUUAUCUUCCAAUCUUUGUGUUAGUGAUUUGAAGGAAGUAAACUCAAAGUAAUGGUUAUGAAUGAUAAUUUUU
RNAcentral lists this long non-coding RNA (517 nucleotides) under Cicer arietinum (chickpea). Its description in RNAcentral is "long non-coding RNA (CARI_LNC002052)". The record is from RNAcentral. Lineage: Eukaryota; Viridiplantae; Streptophyta; Magnoliopsida; Fabales; Fabaceae.